AACAAAAAAAUAUUCAGUUGGUAGAAAAUCCAUGGCAAAAUGUAUGGUACUUUUGCUUCUAUAACUUAUAAAGAAAAUACACAGGCACUUAAAAUAAUUGUAUAUGCAACCAACUCUAACAUGGGGAAAAAUUUUUAAACAAUAAGGCAAAAAGCAAAACAUAAAACCAAGCACCCCAAACACCCCUUUAACCUUGGUAUACCAACUAUUUUAUAGGAUUUUAGGAACUUCUAAAACUUUAUUCUGAAAUAAUUAUAGAUUCAUAGGAAGUUGCAUAGAGAGGUCCUGUGUAUUCUUCACCCAGUUUCCUGCAAUGAUUACAUCUUAUAUAAUUACAAUGUCAAAACCAGGAAGCUGCUGUUGGAAUGAUGCCUGGGCGUAGAUCUAUGUCACUUUAUCACAUGUGUAGAUUCCUGUAACUAUCACUGCAAUCAAGAUACAGAACUAUUCCAUCACCACAAAGCUCUCCCUCCUGCUGUCCUUUCUUUAGAGUCAUACCCAUCUCCCUUCCCAAACAAUACCUAAUUCUUGAACCGCUAAUCUGUUAUAUGAACUUCUGACCCUUAUGGAUAAAUCAUCAUUACUCAUAUGCUUUUGUGUCCUCCCCUUUUUCUUAUGGCAUUGUUAAUAUACUUUUUUUCUUGAAUAGAGACCAGCUAUCAUUUUAUUUUGAAUUUUUGAAUUUGAUUUAUUUUUAUACAGCAGGUUCUUAUUAGUUAUCUAUUUUAUACAUGAGACCAGCUAUCAUUUUUAAUGAGAGGUUUUUAUAUUAACAAACUGCAGUUUAACUGUCCCAGUUCUUUUCCUAUUAUAUAUAGCAAACUUUUGUAAUUAGAAAAAAAAAAAAGGAUUUUUCUUUUUUUUUUUGGCUGUACCACACGGCUUGUGGGAUCUUAGUUCCCCGACCCGGGGUGGAACCUGGGCCCCCAGCAGUGAAAGCGCAGAGCCCUAACCACUGGACCACCAAAGAAUUCCUGGAUUUUCCUUUUCCUUUGAGAGUUAUUUGUAGAAUGUAUUGCAAAAAGCGAGAUGAUCGUAUCAAAAGGUAAUGUCAGGUUUUAUAGUUUUUGUUGCUUACCGCUGGACAAUACACCAGAAAGAUUACAUUUACGUCAGGAGUAAUACAUACAUGUACUCAUUUUUUUUUUCAUGAUCAACUAAUUACAUUAGUGGGGCAAAAAUCAAAAGGAAUAAGAAAAAGGGAAAUGACAUAUUAAAAAACCCCCAAUAUUUGUAUCUUAAUAUCUGACAUGGAAACAAUGCAGAUUAUUGGUUGAGAGUACAGGGCUCUGAAGCCAGAUUGUCAAAGUCUGAAUUACAAUUGCAUUAGUAAUUGUGUCCACUGGCAAGUUACUCUCCCUAAACCUCAAUUUCCUCAUGUAUGAAACAGGGAGAGCAGGCCCAACUGACUAAUGCUAGCCUUUCACUUUCUGUUCAGAUGAAGAGCAAAGUUAGAAGAGAAACUUUACUGAAUAGCUUAAAAAUCCAAUUAAAACCCCUCGAUUAUUUCAAAUGGAGUUAGAAAAAGUAAAGUGCCAUCUAUUGUUCAACUUUGUGAACUACAAUAGUACAUUUGCUUGUAUAACUGCCUAAUAUAUAUAUAUAUAUGUAUAUAUAUUUUGAGUAAACGUCCUGCUGAAGUGAGCACAUAUGUUUUUUGAAAAUAUUUUCCACCAUGAAAUUCUGAUAUUUUCUUUAACAUACUGAUGAUGUCUGCAGAAAGGAAAUAAUUUUACAGAUGAAAAUAUUCUUUCACUAGCAUGGUAAUCCUCCCUUCUCCAGUUAUUUGUCUCCUGAUCCUCUGCAGUUUACUUUCUACACACACCUCCUUUUAGCUACUGGAAAUUACUGAAGAAGACUAGAAAAAGUUUUGAAUGUUCAUAGGAAGCCUCUGUGAUUCAAAUGAAGAGAAAGAUAGCCAGGCCUGGAUCACAAUUCUCUCUUCUUUUCCUGUUCCCAACAAUAAUGGUUUCAUGUAAGGUUUCAAAGACUUCAAAAUUAUCUCUGGUGACCAAACUGUUUCAAAAAAAUAAAAAGGGUGCGGAAGCUGUAGCUGUUGAUGCAGCGCCAUGAGGAGCAGAAACAGGAAGGUGAACAGAGGAAGUGGAAGCAGCCCCGGCGG
Physeter macrocephalus (sperm whale) is the source of this 2122-nucleotide long non-coding RNA. RefSeq lists it as uncharacterized. Lineage: Eukaryota; Metazoa; Chordata; Mammalia; Artiodactyla; Physeteridae. The record is from RefSeq and is a predicted model, not a curated record. The transcript has 3 exons.